AGAGUUAAACAGUACGUGAAAUUGUCAAAAGGGAAACGCUUGAAACCAGCAUUGCGAUGCGGGAAACUCUGGCUUGUCUUUGGACAGGUUAGUACUUGCCCGCGAGCAAGUCAACAUCAGUUCUUGGCCAGUGAAAAACGCGGUUAGCUGUAGUCUUCGGACUGACUUUCCGUGAGAUGGCUGGGCAGGGACUGAGGGUCGCAGCGUUGUCUUGGGGUGCCCUGAUGCCAUGCCAAAGGUUAGGUUGCAACAGCGUGCUGAUGUAGCUUGAACGCGGUAUGCUCGUUGGGAGUUACCACUUCAACGCUUGGGAUGCUGACGUAAUGGCUUUAAACGACC
RNAcentral lists this ribosomal RNA (339 nucleotides) under uncultured fungus. RNAcentral's name for it is "eukaryotic LSU rRNA". Lineage: Eukaryota; Fungi. The record is from RNAcentral.